Molecule: long non-coding RNA, 682 nt
Filed under: Macaca mulatta (Rhesus monkey)
Lineage: Eukaryota; Metazoa; Chordata; Mammalia; Primates; Cercopithecidae
Description: lncRNA (ENSMMUG00000051807.1)
Source: RNAcentral
CAAUGCACUGUCUUGAACUCCAACAUCAAAGUGUUUCUUCGACCUCGCCUCCAUCCGAACACCCAUCUCUUUCAGGACCAUAAGCAGCUCUGCUCCUCGUCUCCCACGCUGUGGACAGGGAUCCCUGCUCCUGGGCUCUUUCACCUUUCGUGAACUGAGCCCCCUUCUGAAGUAAGGCAUGGGCACCCCGAAUGGAAAUGGCUGGAUUAAUGCGCAUGCAUGUCCACACUGGUGCAGGGCACCUGCUUUUCUGGGACAAUUGCCAUCUGGAAUCAGACGCCUUCCUCAUUGUGUGCCUAUUUCUGGACAAAGAAAAGGAGAACUGGAUGAGAAGCAGGCCUCCUCUCCCACAUCCUCCAGCCGCCUGGCAGGCCCAACUAAGACACCCGCUCCAGCUCAGGGCCUUGGGUGCUGCCCUGCCUGCUCUGCUGAUGGCUGCCUACUGCCCCCCCCCACCACCAGAGCAGCAGAGUUCCCCUCAGUAGCUUUCAGGGGCUGGAAGGAAAGUGGGACGCCUCUCCCGGCAGGAACAGCAGCAGGAUGGCUGAUUCCCAAGAGCAGCUUCCUGACACCCCCGCCCCAGCACCCCUGGGUCCAGUCACCAUUCAGAUACAUCUCUCGAUGGGCUGCAAGGAAAAGAACAGUGUCAGAGGACAAGGCCGGUUUACAUACAACUAACUGA